UUUUAUGCCUGAGUUACAAUAACUUUUAUUCCCAUGGCGAGACAUCGAAAUUUGUGAUGGCGCCAUGGACACGCCCUUUAACGAAAACUCAAGAUCUUCACAAUUUAACAUCGCACAGGCCUUUAGAAUAGAGUGACUGAAAAAAAAAAAUUAUGUCAUAAAAUUUCUCGGGGUAGUUUGUUACAGUGUAAAAUAUGUCACUUCCUGUUGCCAGUAGGUGUCGCUAUGACUAUAACUGAAUAUGGGCAUAUUAAUCUGUUCAGGUCAGGAGUCUUAUCAAACAUGUGAAGUUUGUGGCAGAUUGGACAUUGUAUGUCUGAGUUAUAGCAACUUCAUUUUUCAUGGCGAAUCAUCGAAAUUCGUCAGGCCGCCACGGACACGCCCUUCAAUGAAAACUCAAGAUCUUCGCAAUUUAACAUCGCAAAGGCCUUUAGAUUAGGCAUACCAAAUUUGGUGUUGAUCUGAAUAAAUCUCUAGGAGGAGUUCGUUAAAAUACAAGGCAUGCAAAUGACAAAAAUGAUGCAAAAAUUUGCUCAUAAAAUUAAAAAAUAACCGACUUCCUGUUGGGUUUCGGAUAUUGCUCCAAGAGUCUUUUUUGUAGGUACUGAUGCUUUACAUAUGUGUGCCAAUUGUCGUGCAUGUACGUGAAACACAGCUCGAGGGCUGUUGAUUUUUUUACGAUAGGUGGCGCUGUCGAGCCAUUUUGCCACACCCUCUUCUGAAACCUAUAUCAGACGUAAAUUUUCACAAGGUCUGACGCGUGUGCAAGGUUUCAAGACUUUUCGAGCAUGUUUAGGCCCUCAAAAAUGCGAUUCAUUUUGGAGAAGAAGAAGAAGAAGAAGAAGAAGAAGAAGAAGAAGAAGAAGAAGAAGAAGAAGAAGAAGAAACGGAGCAAUUCCAAUAGGGUCCUCACACUGCAGUGCUCGGGCCCUAAUAAACGGAGCAAUUCCAAGAGGGUCCUCGCACUGCAGUGCUCGAGCCCUAAUUAAAGCUGCAAGCAGCGAUGAAAGGGCCCUCGCACCCGGGCUCACCACCAACCGGUGGCCAUAGUAGAAAAGCGAACGUUGGGCCAUAUGCUUAUAAAAAGGUAAAUAUUUGUGCCACAUUUCCUGCUGCCAACUGGUGGCGCUAUGAUUAUAACUGAAUAUCGGCAUGUAAAUGUCUUCAGGCCAGGACUCUUACCAAACAUGCAAGGUUUCGGGCAGAUCAGACAUUGCAUGUUUAAGUUAGUGUAAAAGAAGUAAUUUCCUGUUGCCAGCAGCUGGCGCUAUAAUUAUAAUUGAAUAUUGGCCUUUAGAUGUGUUCAGGCCAGGACUCUUAUAAAACGUGUGAAAUUUGGGGCAGAUUGGGCAUUGUAUGCAAGAGUUACAACAACUUCCUUUUUCAUAGUAUUAGUAGCAUGCUUUAGCACUUAGCUAAGUGCUACUAACAUGUUUUAAUAUGUUUUUAACAUGUUGCCAGUGUAUUUAGCACUUCCUGACACUUUUUAAUAUGUUGCCAGGAGUCCAUAACAGUGUUAAACAUGACACUUCCUGUUGCCAGUAGGUGGCGCUAUGACUAUAACCCGAAUAAUGGCAUGUUGAUGUGUUCUGGACAGGACUCUUGUCAAACGUUUGAAGUUUGGGGCAGAUUGAUCAUUGCUUGCCUGAGUUACAGCAAUUUCCUUUUUUACGGCAUUAGUAGCAUGCUUUAACACUUAGCUAAGUGCUACUAGCAUGUAUAAGUAUUUUUCUAGCAUGUUGCCAGCCUAUUUAACACUUGUUGACACUUUUUAAUAUGUUCUUAGGAGUC
This is a long non-coding RNA of Cyprinus carpio carpio, 1791 nucleotides long. The record is from Ensembl. NCBI's taxonomy places the organism in Eukaryota, Metazoa, Chordata, Actinopteri, Cypriniformes, Cyprinidae.